CGCCAAGUAGCUAGCCCCCUCAUUCAAAAAUAACAACUCAUAAUAAAUAAACCCGAACGAACUAAAGUUUACUUAAACAAACCAUUUUUCCCCCUUAGUAUGGGCGACAGAAAAGGAACUACGGCGCAAUAGAGAAAGUACCGCAAGGGAACGCUGAAAGAGAAAUGAAAUAAACCAGUAAAGCCCAAAGAAGCAGAGACUAAAACUCGUACCUUUUGCAUCAUGAUCUAGUUAGUAAAACCCAAGCAAAGAGCACUUUAGUUUGAGUUCCCGAAACGAAGUGAUCUACUCCAGCGAAGGCUAUUAACAGGGUACACCCGUCUCUGUGGCAAAAGAGUGGGAAGACCUUUGAGUAGUGGUGACAGACCUAUACGAACUUAGUAAUAGCUGGUUGCCUGAGAAAUGGAUAGGAGUUCAGCCUUUCGGCUUCUUUCUUGAAUAAAUCUCUCCACAUGAGAGACCCCCCAAAGCAUUCGAAGAAACCGUAAGAGUUAUUCAAAGGAGGUACAGCUCCUUUGAAAGAAGACACAACUUUUCCAGGCGGAUAAAGAUCAUAAUAACUAAGGGUAAAAUGUCCUGGUGGGCCUAAAGGCAGCCAUCCUAGUAGAAAGCGUUAAAGCUCAGACGAACCCCAGCCCCCCCCCCAAUCCUGAUAAUUUUAUCUUAAUCCCCUAAUUAUACCAGGCCGCCCCAUGCACACAUGGGAGUGAUAAUGCUAGAAUGAGUAAUAAGAGGGCCAUUGCCCCUCUCCUUGCACACGUGUACAUCGGAACAGACCUCCUGCCGAACCUUAACGGCCCCAAACCAAGAGGGAACUGAAUAACAGAACAGAAGACCAGAAGAAUAUUCAACUUGAAAACCGUUAACCCUACACAGGUGGGCCCGCAAGGGAAGGCUGAAAGAAAAAGAAGGAAUUCGGCAAACACAUGAAGCCUCGCCUGUUUACCAAAAACAUCGCCUCUUGCAAAAUUAAACAAAUAAGAGGUCCCGCCUGCCCUGUGACUAUAUGUUCAACGGCCGCGGUAUUUUAACCGCGCGAAGGUAGCGCAAUCACUUGUCUUUUAAAUGGGGACCUGUAUGAAUGGCAUAACGAGGGCUUGACUGUCUCCUUUUUCGAGUCAAUGAAAUUGAUCUUUCCGUGCAGAAGCGGGAAUAUAAACAUAAGACGAGAAGACCCUAUGGAGCUUUAGACACUAAGACAGAUCAUACUUAAGUCCCUCACUUCCAAACAAAGAACUAAACCAAUGAAACCUGUCCUAAUGUCUUAGGUUGGGGCGACCCAGGGGAACAAAAACCCCCCACGUGGACUGGGAGGACCUUUCCCCCUUUUUCUUUCGUCCUCCUAAAAACAAGACCCACAGCUCUAAUAUUCAGAAUUUCUGACCAAUAAUGAUCCGGCAUUAGCCGAUCAACGGACCAAGUUACCCUAGGGAUAACAGCGCAAUCCCCUUUCAGAGCCCAUAUCGACAAGGGGGUUUACGACCUCGAUGUUGGAUCAGGACAUCCUAAUGGUGCAGCCGCUAUUAAGGGUUCGUUUGUUCAACGAUUAAAGUCCUACGUGAUCUGAGUUCAGACCGGAGUAAUCCAGGUCAGUUUCUAUCUAUGACAUGAUCUUUUCUAGUACGAAAGGACCGAAAAGAGGGGGCCCCUGCUGGAAGUACGCCCCACCCUUACCUAAUGAAAACAACUAAAUUAGACAAAAGGGCAUAUACAUAUACCGGAGAAAACGGUAU
RNAcentral lists this ribosomal RNA (1733 nucleotides) under Percichthys trucha. RNAcentral's name for it is "16S ribosomal RNA". The stretch from base 109 to 1621 matches the Rfam family "Bacterial large subunit ribosomal RNA". The record is from RNAcentral. Lineage: Eukaryota; Metazoa; Chordata; Actinopteri; Centrarchiformes; Percichthyidae.